AAGACGGAUCACUUUGCAAGAGGCUAAGCAUUGGUCUUGGCAGACAGACAGCAAUCCAAAUAUACACCUAUACACGUCCUUGGUCUCAUAGUCUAGCUUGGAGUGGAACAGUGUGUCGCGUGUUGCUUGGUGCAGCGGUGUGCGAGGCGUGUGUGCCAGGGGACGAGGCGAGCUUACCUGAUGGGGCCUUUUGUUGCGGGUCCUGGUAGGACAGGAGGGAAGGGUGGAAGUUUUCCUCUGCCCAGAGCCAGGCCGGGAUUUUGUCUUAUAAAAGCCCGGGAUCGGACCGGGAGUGUGAGAGAAGAGCGUCGGUGUGAGGAGACGUUGGUGUACCCAGGGCUUGGCUGUGCGGUUCCCUGUGUUGGUACGUCCCUCCCGUAUCUCGUGCCUUCCGUGUGGUGCUCAGGACCGGGCUGUGUGAGGCUGUGUUUUUUUCCCCGGGGUGGGGACGUGUCCUGGCGGCAGUUCCACCUUCUCCUGCGUUUUCAGCGUGCGGCACGUCAUGAGCCGAUUGGGCUCAACCACCGGAUCACUCGAUCAAGCGGAGUGAAAAGCCAUCACACAGCCGAAGGAUUAACGGACUACCAUCAGUCAGCACACGGGGGGGCGGGGGGCAGUUAACCACCUGCAUGGAAGUGUUAGCGGACUGUUUGUCGAGCCCCGAGACUCGAGUCACCGACGACGAACUGUGUCCUUGGAAGCACUAGGGGGCGUGACACUGACUCACCCGUGGCAGUGAGCGGCGAGCGUCCCGGACAGUGACAUGAAAGGGGGGAAUACCCUUGUGAACUGCAACGAAAGUUGUGUACCGCGUCAGACCACGCGAGCGCCAUAGGCUAGGGGGCGCGUGUAGACGUGUGGAUGGAUGUCUGGUUUUCCCUUUUGUUUUGUUUUCGGCGUGUGUUAGGGCUCUCCCCUAUUUGUUUGGGUUGGCCACCUGUAUAACAGGGUUUUGUUUUCUUUUUCUUUCCUUUCCCCCAUACUUUUAUGUUAUUUUCUUUUGAGCUGGCGGUCGCAUUACACGACCGCCAAUAAAUUUUUGUUUUGUGUUGUCACUUCGUGUGCGCGUUUUGUGUCCACUGAGGAGUGAUUGGCUUCGUUGCUCGCGUCGGGCGCGCGGAGGUUUGUUGUGUGAUUGCGAGUAUGUGGGAGAGUGAGUCCCGCAACGCCCGAUCGCGUUACGCGACACAGUGCACGGCACAGACAAAGUAAGACUGUCGGAUGGUUUAUGAUCAAAGAUGACUCCAAGAAAUGUCACUUUCUGGACUAUUUUGAGUAAUGAGUACUGUGCUGUUUACAGAGAAAGACGGGUCUCGAAACAUGCCUUACAGUUUGCGAAAGUAGAUGCAUACUGACUCUGCAUCAGAAGAUUUGAAGGUGUUUUCUACACAGUUAAAGCACAUCUGAAGAUUGUGUUCAAGGGAUGGUAAGGAUCUCCCUGGGGUGCGAAAAGAUAAAUCUUCUGCACGCGCCUUUUCCAAACCUGGAUGGACACACUUUCUAUUUUGACACUGAAGAGAGUAGGAAAAAGUAUGUUGCCUUGUGGGAUGCCCAUUUCCGAAAAGUCAGGAGAUAGUGGAGCGAAGUAGAAUUGUAAUCAAUGGUGGAUGUCAAUGAAUCAGUACCAUCCUGUGGCUCAGUGUCUCCAACCUGCAUGUUUCCUUUUAAGCCAGCCUGAAACCUAAUCUUCCUUACAGCCGCCCACACUAUACUGGAAAUGGUGUGGAAGGAUUAACCUAAAACAGAACUCUGUAACGCAAGUUUUCUAUUUUAUUUUUAAAAAAAACCAUUGUGUGCCUGCAUUCAACGGAGUCUAAAACUGAGCAUGUUUUCUGUUUCUGGAGUGGGGUGGCAAAAGGCAAGGCUUUCUUCAAAGCCUUCUUCAGGCAUGCUAAAUCACCGGGCAUUCCUUGAUAAAGAAUUGAACAUGUGAUUAGUGAUUAUGUGUCCUUUGUCCAGGAAUUGUUGCUGAAGCAUCUCCCGUUUUAAAAAAAAAGUCCUAGAUGGUCCUGUAAGGGAUUGUGUAAGGCUGUGUUUUACGCCAUGCCAGCAGCCAGGGCCACAUCACAACGACAUAAAGUAAACUUAUUUUAAACAGUUUAGGGGCAAGUUCCCCAUGUGAUAUAACCACAAAAUCAGCAUCAAUAAAAUGCAACACAAGAAACAAGAAUAAUGUAAAAAGAAGAGGACACAAUCAAGACUGGGAAAAUCAGAUCUUGUGAGAGCUGUGAAUAUGAUUCUGUCUUGAAAGAGCGACCACUUGCUCCAGACAUUUCAAACCAGAAUGUUACAUUGAAGGUAAGUCAACAGGCGAGAUAAAUAUAGCUUUUUAUAUUUUAGAAUAUUUUGAUUUUUCAGUGGCUGUAAGCAUUGCUGUGAAAGAUCAAAAGAUUCAUAGUUGUAAAAAUAGUCAAACUAUUAAUCACACAACAUUUAUCCAGCACAGGUGUCUUAAAACUUGUGGAGACUGCUGAGUGCUGGAUCGUAUUAGAGAGUGAGAAAGCUUGUGUGUGUGUGAAGAAAAUAAGUAACCUAUUAUAAUGUUAUGUUAUAAUAUAACCAACACAAGGUAAAACAAGAAUUGAGAAGCACAUUAAAUGAUUGCAUUUUUGUAGAUACUAACAUUAACAUGAACAGGAUUACUUAAAUUCAACCCCUAUUUAGCAAUGUAUAUUUAAAAAUAAAUCAAAACAUCAGAACACUUAGUGUUCCUUCUUCAAAAGCUCAAAUAACUCUUUGCUGGGGCUGGAUUAAAUCAGCAAAUUAGUGGGCUAAUUCUGUACACAAGAUAAUUAGUUUAUUAUGACAACUUGUCAAAAGAUCAGUUACAGGUCUGCCUGCCUUACAUUAAUCUAUUUGAAACAAUUUGCUACUUUUUAUCUGCCUGUAGAUCUUUACCUAUUUGUUCACUUUUCAGGUAAAGGCAUUUGUCAUCACCGUAUCCCAGUAAGUCAACCCAUGGAGUUUAUGCCAAAAUAGACCAUUGAAACACCUAAGCCAUAUACUAGGAAGCCAUCAGUGAGUAUUAAUUAUUCAUUACUAUGAUACAACAUGGUCACUGUCAAGAGUAAUGCAUUAUUAAUAAAUGCGUUUUAUGUGAAACUGUUGACAUUAUGUCUACCAAUUUAAUGUUCUUAAUGGUUCUAGCUUCAACAUUCUGCAUUAUACCUCUUGAUGCCUUUACAUCCUUGCAUGAUAAGAUACUCAUAUAUUUCACGUCAGCUGGUUAAAAACAUCUGCAGUAGCUAAGCUAAAGCAUUGAUGAUAAGAGUAGACCUGAUUGUUGCUUCAAUAAUAAGAGGUUUUUUAUAUAACAUUUGUUUACAUUUUAAGACUGUCUACCCUUGACACAUCUUUUAUUAACUCGCGGUAUAAAGUUCUGAUUGUGCACGAAAUGUUACAUAUAAUCUUACUUCACCAAUGGUAUCAAUUAGUGGAUAAGAAUGAGGUACUAUGUUCCUUUAUUACAGACUCCUGUCUCUUAUUUUGCCUUGUUCCUGACCUUGGCUGAAAUACAGCCGAACAAUAAAAAUAUACAAUUUCUCAGGCAGUUAUCUUUAUUGAAUUGAGUGUGCAUGAAUGUAAGUGCCAAAGUGAUUAAAAGCCAUGGAAUCAACACACAUCAAUUUUUAUUUUAUAUAUAUAUACAUCACAUAAAGCUCCUCUACUUAUGCUUAAGAUUACAACGCUUUUUGGAUAAUUAGGCUUGGCAAAACAGUCCAUUAGCUUUUAUACAAAAAGUAUUACAUGUCUGAUGACAAUAAUUUUCUACACAAAAAUAUUACGUCUGAUGACAAUCAUUUUCUACAUAAACCGUAACUUUUGAAUGUUUUACUCUUAUAGCCAUGACAUUGACACAUUAAGUAUAAUGUCUCUCUUAAAGCAGAAAAUAGCAUCAACCUGAAGUUGGGACGGUGAUUUUAACAUUAUGAUCAAUAUUAAUCUUGCACAAAUGUAAAUAAAGGAGAUGAUACAAAAUUAAUCGAAAUACAAGGACAUCUAUAUUAUGUCAACUCAGUAUUAAUUAAUUUUGUGAUGACAAUUUGAAUUCGCAUGGAU
Long non-coding RNA from Pomacea canaliculata, 4059 nucleotides. RefSeq lists it as uncharacterized. NCBI's taxonomy places the organism in Eukaryota, Metazoa, Mollusca, Gastropoda, Architaenioglossa, Ampullariidae. The record is from RefSeq and is a predicted model, not a curated record. The transcript is spliced from 3 exons.